Molecule: long non-coding RNA, 1258 nt
Organism: Dermacentor silvarum
Lineage: Eukaryota; Metazoa; Arthropoda; Arachnida; Ixodida; Ixodidae
Exons: 3
Source: RefSeq, a predicted model, not a curated record
UUUGGAACACUUCAUGUGCUAAGGAAUUUUCUUCGUAGUACAAUUCACAUUUAACUUCCUACAGAUGUGCGUUUGUGUGAAGCUUUUGAUAGAUUUAUGUUUGCUGCAGUUUCAUUUCAGUUAAAUAACCGCUUGUGAUGUAACAAUCAGAUGUUUGCACAACCAGAUGCAGCUUCGUGUAGUUUGGUUGUAUGAGACUUUUCAGAAUGUAACAUGAUCUUGUUAACUUGCAAGCUUGCAGUUUCAGCAGGGAUUACAGUAAAUUGGAACAUUUCUUAUUGUUUAGGGAUGUCAAGAUUUCGUGAACCAGAGGCACCGCAUAGGAACCUAAGACAUUUCUGCAGCCGGAACAUCACGGCAAAGCAUCUGAUCUGCAUGCUGCGACAAGGUAUGGCUGGGCCUGGUGAUGAAGUGUAAGCAGAACAUGCUAUGCUGCGAAUUGGUGCCAAUCUUCACAUCCGAGUUGUUCCCACGACAGUCAAGCACCACUGUGAUUUGCUUCAUUGGCAAGGUAAUAUACUAUGGUGCCCUGCAAGCUCUCACCAAAGCAACACAUUCCACUGGUUUUCUGUCAGAGUGCCAUUAUAGAAUUUCGAAUAAACUAUGCUUGUCAGAUGUGUGACAUGCCCCGUCUUAAAAUCAGAGCGCUUCAGUAAUAAUGUUUGAAUGGGUGUACAUAAAAACACACGUAAAGUAUACUUAUGUAUUUCUUUUACAAGUCCUCUUCACCCGACGUUUUUCCAACUUAAAAUUACGCUUUGCUGUACAUUUGUUUUAUGCACAAACCAUUACAGCAACACAACACUGCAGUAAAAUGAGUACAAAUGAUAAAGCAUGCAGUACACCUGCAAGAAUUACAUUUGCAUACUUGUAGUACAUAUGAAAAUGAGCUACCGAUCUUUUUCAGGUUGCAUACUCUUAUAGGUCAUACAUGUCAAGCGCACUCAUAGGUCACACAAAACUCGUUCAAGGCUGAUCUCAAAUCUCAGUGACUUAUGUUAAGUGACAUCGGACCAGUCUAAAGAAACCUGGCUCAAAUAGGGAAAUAAGUAGGUUCGAACAGGGUCAAAUGGGAGUGGACUAAACGGGGACAAACAGGUCUGGGCUAAAUGGGUUCAAACGGGGGCAAACAGGUCUGGGCUAAAUGGGUUCAAACGGGGACAAACAGGUCUGGGCUAAAUGGGUUCAAACGGGGACAAACAGGUCUGGGCUAAAUGGGUUCAAACGGGGACAAACAGGUCUGGGCUAAAUGGGUUCA